UGACUGUUUAUUUACUUUUACUAGUUAUUCUUCCUCCAUGGAAAUUAUGCUUCUGAAUAUAGUGAAUAAAACCAGAUGUGAUCACACUGAUUUUGACUUAGUGCUAUUUUCAACAUAAUAAUAUUUCCUAUGGGAUAGAGAGCAAAGAAGGGAAGGUGAAGGGAAGAAAAUCACCUUUGCAUUUCCACUCUGUUAGCAGGUCAUGAAUUUGAUGUGUUACGUCAUAAUACAAAAAUUAGCUGGGCAUGGUGGCAGGGGCCUGUAAUCCCAGCUAUUCGUGAGGCUGAGGCAGAGAAUUGCUUGAACUCGGGAGGCGGAGGUUGCAGUGAGCCAAGAUCAUGCCACUGCACUGCAGCCUGGGCGACAGAGCGAGACUACCUCUCAAAAAAAAAAAAAAAAAAGGAAGAAAGAAAGGAAAAGAAAAGAAAAAGAAAUAGAAGUAUAAAGGGGAAUCAUAAGAAUUCUAAAUGGUAUAGAAAAAAAAUAUGUUUUCCAUAUAUAUAUAUUUCUAGACUCAUGGCAAAUACCUGAAAACAAAAUCUUCACUUCAGCACUGGGAAGUAUAUGAAACUGUUUUCAGACCACACAACUCUGUGAGCUCAUCGCCAAGAAUUGGUCUGCAAGGUCAUCAGAAGGGCAGGCUAUUUGUAAACUCCUUUUGACUUAGCUGGUAAGACAGAAAGUUCUUUCUUCAUGGCUAAAUGAUACUUGAGAAAAGAAAAAAUGUGGUGAAGCUGGAUGUAUCUAGUUGAAAUAAAAAUGACUACCUUAUUCCUACGUAAGCAAAAUAUACCACUUACAAGAAAAAAAGGAAUUUAUGAAUAGAAAUAGAAUCAGAUCACGGUGCAUUUCUCAAUUCUCCACUGGGUUUUAUUACUCCAGUGUUGUGUUUUUACCUUUUAUCGUAGCUGUCAUUCGUCCUUGUACUUUAGAUAGCAGCUUAUCAACCCUUGUUAUAUCAUUAGCUUCUUUAGGGUGAGGAUCUUAUCUUUAUUUUUGACCACACUUCCUGUG
This 1014-nucleotide long non-coding RNA is filed under the name Rhinopithecus bieti (black snub-nosed monkey). RNAcentral's name for it is "lncRNA (ENSRBIG00000045928.1)". Lineage: Eukaryota; Metazoa; Chordata; Mammalia; Primates; Cercopithecidae. The record is from RNAcentral.